GCGGUCGGCCGGCAGAAUCGGCGCCGCCGUGAUGAGAUGCGGAGGCUCCGACGAGAUCGAUCUAUUCGCUGCUGUGCUCGGAGCUGCAUCUCCGUCGUCCCCGGAUCCGGGAAUAUUUGCCCAAAAUAUUGCAGUGGAGAGCAAUGAGCGGCUUUGACGGCGCGGCAGCUUGUAGCCUUGGCAUCAGGCGGCGCGGCUGAUGGUCUCAUCAUAUGGCGGUUUCGCCGCGGAGCAGCAGGAUGAUUUGGUGGCGACUGGAUGGCAACUGCGGAUGGUCUCAUCAGACAGCGGUGGUGUUGAGGUGGCUGGACCAUGGGCAGCACCAUCUUGGCACACGGGCUGUAGGUUAAAGAGGUGGCUUAACCUGCCAUCACGGUGAUCCCCGACCAUCAAUGCCUUCACUCUACUAUCAAGAGUCAACACUCUACGCUGGUACGGAAUUCUCGUGAAUCUAAUUUCCCAACCAUCUUCACUACGUAUGUGUUCAGUUCAUAACAUGUAUAUUCUUCAGUGCAGCUCCCAACUCUUUGCUCACUUCUGAUGCACUACAACACGUAAUUUUUCUUGUUUUAGUUUUAUUAGCAAAUACUCAUGGAGCUGCAAACUCGAUCAUAAUUUAUUUUAGUUACAAUGAGGUGGACUCAUACUAAUCCAUGUACCCAGCCUGCUAGUCUUUGCUGCAUUUUUUGUUUAGCAGUCGGGUAACCUUGUAUAGCAUGAUUUUGAUUGUUGAUUCAGGUUAUUUGCUUGUUAUUUUUGUGUGGCAUAAACGAAAUGGGAGUUGCAAUUGUAGCUAGUUAGAUCGGAAUGAGCUAACCAGUCACAAUAUUGCAAGACUUCAUGUGAUCGUAAUAGAAUUUGAAAAUAAGUAAACUAAAAAUGUAGUGAAUCUCUAUGAUGUUUCUACACUGUAUUCAGAAAAAAAGAUGCAUGGAAAUUUAUAUAGUAUAGAAGGAAAAAGUACCAUUAAAAGAAGUCAGGGGUGCUUCUUAUUUAUUGUUGCUGAUUUAUAAUGUAGCUACUUCAGUGUUCUUCCUUACUGAUUGGCUUUGGCUGGUUCUUUAUUAUCCCUGGUACUCCUCAAUACCAUCCUAUUUCUACCAAUUUGGAUGAGUAAGUGCCGGUUUUCUCUCGCGUUGUGUGUAAUUUUGGCGUGCAAUUGUUCAGUUUUACUCGACGUAAUUUUGUUGCUAGAAAGAGUGAAGCUUGAGAUAACUAUUUCUGCAUCAUUUCAAAAUUGUUAGUUGCAAUGGUAUCUCCAAUUUAGUGACAGUAGACAUGUUGGUUCUAUAAAUGCUAUUAUGAAAUGCAUACUGGUUUGGAAUUACCGAUUCAAACCCUACUUUUUAUUUAUGAUAAUCUAUCUUCAUGAGAUUUUUAUUUGUGGCUUUCUUUUCAUUACAGAGCGAUGAGAAUUACAGGCUCCUGAUAGGGUUUAAAAAUCAUUAUACAAGUGAUGGACCCAGGAUUCCUCUACCUUUCGCUUCAAUGAUCCCCAGGGUCCGCCGAAGGAUUGUAUUCUGAUACAUGUUCAAGGUCCUACUGCUUCUGGUGCUGCAGUGUCGUCUAUUGCUCGUGAGACUGCAGUCUCUUUCUCCUCGCCUCCUCAGCGAGUUCCACCAAGGUCAUCAAAUGACCCUAAAAAGAGAUAGGAGAGUCUGGCGGCAUUGGUGGAUGAUGAUCAUUUUGUUGGUGUUUCUCAAAGCUAUCAGUGAUUUCCUCUGACGAUCAAGGCUACUAGAGUUGCUGUUCGGAAGAUCAUAAAGUCUAAAUCAUCACUUUAUGGACCCCGACAUUGUGAGGUUCUUAGAUCGAGUUCCUUGGCAAGUUCACUUCAGCAGUCUAAGCUAGCGCUGUGGUUGGUACCAAUUGGUUUUGCUCUUUUUGGUAAAAGUCUCCUCUGUUCAUGAAGUAUAAUGGAUCUUUAUAUGUAAGGUGUGACUUUUCUACAAUGAAGAAGAUAAUUUUUGUUCAUGAAGUAUAAUGGAUCUUUAUAUGUAAGGUGUGACUUUUCUACAA
Molecule: long non-coding RNA, 2019 nt
Organism: Lolium rigidum
Lineage: Eukaryota; Viridiplantae; Streptophyta; Magnoliopsida; Poales; Poaceae
Exons: 3
Source: RefSeq, a predicted model, not a curated record